UGAGAACAAGACUGAGAACAGACUGAGAACACACUGAGAACAGACUGAGAAUAGACUGAGAACAGACUGAGAACACACUGAGAACAGACUGAGAACACACUGAGAACACACUGAGAACAGACUGGGAACAGACUGAGAACACACUGAGAACAGACUGAGAACACACUGAGAACAGACUGAGAACAGACUGAGAACACACUGAGAACAGACUGAGAACAGACUGGGAACAGACUGGGAACACACUGAGAACAGACUGAGAACAGACUGAGAACAGACUGAGAACAGACUGGGAACACACUGAGAACAGACUGAGAACACACUGGGAACACACUGAGAACAGACUGAGAACAGACUGAGAACACACUGAGAACACACUGAGAACAGACUGAGAACACACUGAGAACAGACUGAGAACAGACUGGGAACAGACUGAGAACACACUGAGAACAGACUGAGAACAGACUGGGAACAGACUGAGAACAGACUGGGAACAGACUGAGAACAGACUGAGAACAGACUGGGAACACACUGAGAACAGACUGAGAACAGACUGGGAACAGAUUGAGAACAGGCUGAGAACAGACUGAGAACAGACUGAGAACAGACUGGGAACAGACUGAGAACAGACUGGGAACAGACUGAGAACACACUGAGAACAGACUGAGAACAGACUGAGAACAGACUGAGAACAGACUGGGAACAGACUGAGAACAGGCUGAGAACAGACUGAGAAAAGACUGGGAACACACUGAGAACAGACUGGGAACAGACUGAGAACAGAAUGAGAACACACUGACAACAGACUGAGAACAGACUGAGAACAGACUGAGAACACACUGAGAACAGACUGAGAACAGACUGAGAACAGACUGAGAACACACUGAGAACAGACUGAGAACAGACUGAGAACAGACUGGGAACAGACUGAGAACAGACUGGGAACAGACUGAGAACAGACUGGGAACAGACGGAGAACACACUGAGAAGAAGACUGAGAACAGACUGAGAACACACUGAGAACACACUGAGAACACACUGAGAACAGACUGAGAACAGACUGGGAACAGACUGGGAACACACUGAGAACAGACUGGGAACAGACUGAGAACAGGCUGAGAACAGACUGAGAACAGACUGGGAACAGACGGAGAACACACUGAGAAGAAGACUGAGAACAGACUGAGAACACACUGAGAACACACUGAGAACACACUGAGAACAGACUGAGAACAGACUGGGAACAGACUGGGAACAGACUGGGAACAGACUGAGAACAGGCUGAGAACAGACUGAGAACAGGUUGGGAACAGACUGGGAACAGACUGAGAACACACUGAGAACAGACUGAGAACAGACUGAGAACAGACUGAGAACAGACUGAGAACAGACUGGGAACACACUGAGAACAAGAUGUAUCUCAAAGUAAUGGCUGGAUUGACCAUAACAUUUGUUUUGCACAAUCAAGACCCCAAGUGGAAGAAACCUAUUGAUUUGGUGACCUCUUGACCUUUCCUCUAGCGCCACCAUCAGGCCUUUUCAUGUCCAUUUCCACUUUUCCAGCUGCUUAUUUCCUAGUUGGUAUUUAUACUUAGUUCAACAAUCUGCUGCUGAUUUUAUUAUUUUGUUUGUUAUAUCAUUUUAUAGGUGAUGAUGUUCAUUUAUUUUAAUUGAAGAGGUAUGUUUAAGUUAUAUUUAUUUUAAGUUAUUCAUUAAUGUUAAGAGAAUUUUCCAUUCAAGAAUUUGAC
This 1745-nucleotide long non-coding RNA is filed under the name Salmo salar (Atlantic salmon). Its description in RNAcentral is "lncRNA (ENSSSAG00000110574.1)". The record is from RNAcentral. Lineage: Eukaryota; Metazoa; Chordata; Actinopteri; Salmoniformes; Salmonidae.